GACGAACGCUGGCGGCGUGCUUAACACAUGCAAGUCGAGCGGUAAGGCCCUUUCGGGGGUACGACGAGCGGCGAACGGGUGAGUAACACGUGGGUGACCUGCCCUUACGCUCUGGGAUAAGCCUGGGAAACGUGGGUCGUAAUACCGGAUAUGACUCCAUAACGCAUGUUGUGGGGUGGAAAGCCUUGUGCGGCUAGGGAUGGGCCCGCGGCCUAUCAGCUUGUUGGUGGGGUGAUGGCCACCAAGGCGACGACGGGUAGCCGGCCUGAGAGGGCGACCGGCCACACUGGGACUGAGACAACGGCCCAGACUCCUACGGGAGGCAGCAGGUGGGGAAUCUUGCGCAAGUGGGCGAAAGCCUGACGCAGCGACCGCCGCGGU
This 381-nucleotide ribosomal RNA is filed under the name uncultured bacterium. Its description in RNAcentral is "bacterial SSU rRNA". It matches the Rfam family "Bacterial small subunit ribosomal RNA", at positions 28 to 403 of the family's 1533-position model. The record is from RNAcentral.